RNAcentral lists this ribosomal RNA (492 nucleotides) under uncultured bacterium. RNAcentral's name for it is "partial 16S ribosomal RNA". It matches the Rfam family "Bacterial small subunit ribosomal RNA", at positions 29 to 507 of the family's 1533-position model. The record is from RNAcentral.
AGUGAACGCUGGCGGUAGGCCUAACACAUGCAAGUCGAACGGCAGCACAGUAAGAGCUUGCUCUUACGGGUGGCGAGUGGCGGACGGGUGAGGAAUACAUCGGAAUCUACUUUUUCGUGGGGGAUAACGUAGGGAAACUUACGCUAAUACCGCAUACGACCUACGGGUGAAAGCAGGGGAUCUUCGGACCUUUCGCGAUUGAAUGAGCCGAUGUCGGAUUAGCUAGUUGGCGGGGUAAAGGCCCACCAAGGCGACGAUCCGUAGCUGGUCUGAGAGGAUGAUCAGCCACACUGGAACUGAGACACGGUCCAGACUCCUACGGGAGGCAGCAGUGGGGAAUAUUGGACAAUGGGCGCAAGCCUGACCCAGCCAUGCCGCGUGAGUGAAGAAGGCCUUCGGGUUGUAAAGCCCUGUUGUUGGGGAAGAACAGCAGCAGGUUAAUACCCCGCUGUUCUGACGGUACCCAAAGAAUAAGCACCGGCUAACUUCGUG